Molecule: ribosomal RNA, 301 nt
Filed under: uncultured bacterium
Lineage: Bacteria
Description: partial 16S ribosomal RNA
Rfam family: Bacterial small subunit ribosomal RNA
Source: RNAcentral
CAGUAGCCACAGGAAUACAGAGGUCCCAAGCGUUGUUCGGAUUCACUGGGCGUAAGGGGUGCGUAGGAGGCUGGGAAAGUCGGAUGUGAAAUCUCACCGCUUAACGGUGAAACAGCAUUCGAUACUACUCGGCUAGAGGAUCGGAGGGGAGAGCAGAAUUCUUGGUGUAGCGGUGAAAUGCGUAGAUAUCAAGAGGAAUACCAACAGCGUAGGCAGCUCUCUGGAAGAUUCCUGACUCUGAGGCACGAAGGCCAGGGGAGCAAACGGGAUUAGAUACCCCAGUAGUCCCUGUCUCUUAUAC